This 254-nucleotide ribosomal RNA is filed under the name uncultured bacterium. RNAcentral's name for it is "partial 16S ribosomal RNA". It matches the Rfam family "Bacterial small subunit ribosomal RNA", at positions 524 to 776 of the family's 1533-position model. The record is from RNAcentral.
UACGUAGGUGGCGAGCGUUGUCCGGAUUUACUGGGCGUAAAGAGCGCGCAGGCGGUCGUGCAAGUCGCGUGUGAAAGCCCCCCGGCUCAACUGGGGAGGGUCACGCGAUACUGGUCGACUCGAAGGCAGGAGAGGGUAGUGGAAUUCCCGGUGUAGUGGUGAAAUGCGUAGAUAUCGGGAGGAACACCAGUGGCGAAGGCGACUACCUGGCCUGUUCUUGACGCUGAGGCGCGAAAGCUAGGGGAGCAAACGGG